This is a long non-coding RNA of Aplysia californica (California sea hare), 299 nucleotides long. RefSeq lists it as uncharacterized. NCBI's taxonomy places the organism in Eukaryota, Metazoa, Mollusca, Gastropoda, Aplysiida, Aplysiidae. The transcript is spliced from 3 exons. The record is from RefSeq and is a predicted model, not a curated record.
UGGACCCAGACCCUCAGCUUACUAAGCAUGAGUUUUCACCACUAUUGUUUCCACCAAGUGGGUCCACUAUCCUGUGUGAAGUUCAUAAGCUUUGUGAUUUUCCAGUCUACUCAAAUGGAAAUAAACCUGGAUCUGUUCCAAAUGUGCGACCAGGUCCAACUACCCCGGGUGUGGACAUUCUGGUAAACACCACGGAACCAGAUAACUCCACAUCUCUGCCUGGUUUUAACUAUGUGACCCAGGUCUCAACAAAAUCCCCCACACCUGGACAGAAGAGUGUUUGUGUACAGAUGGAUGAC